GGCGGCGUGCUUAACACAUGCAAGUCGAACGGAAAGGCCCUGCUUUUGUGGGGUGCUCGAGUGGCGAACGGGUGAGUAACACGUGAGUAACCUGCCCUUGACUUUGGGAUAACUUCAGGAAACUGGGGCUAAUACCGGAUAGGAGCUCCUGCUGCAUGGUGGGGGUUGGAAAGUUUCGGCGGUUGGGGAUGGACUCGCGGCUUAUCAGCUUGUUGGUGGGGUAGUGGCUUACCAAGGCUUUGACGGGUAGCCGGCCUGAGAGGGUGACCGGCCACAUUGGGACUGAGAUACGGCCCAGACUCCUACGGGAGGCAGCAGUGGGGAAUAUUGCACAAUGGGCGGAAGCCUGAUGCAGCAACGCCGCGUGCGGGAUGACGGCCUUCGGGUUGUAAACCGCUUUCGCCUGUGACGAAGCGUGAGUGACGGUAAUGGGUAAAGAAGCACCGGCUAACUACGUG
Molecule: ribosomal RNA, 458 nt
Filed under: uncultured bacterium
Lineage: Bacteria
Description: partial 16S ribosomal RNA
Rfam family: Bacterial small subunit ribosomal RNA
Source: RNAcentral